This 647-nucleotide microRNA precursor is filed under the name Homo sapiens (human). RNAcentral's name for it is "long non-coding RNA NONHSAT180666". Lineage: Eukaryota; Metazoa; Chordata; Mammalia; Primates; Hominidae. The record is from RNAcentral.
ACCUUGUUGGCCAGGAUGGUCUCGAUCUCUUCACCUCGUGAUCUGCCCGCCUUGGCCUCCCGCAGAGCUGGGAUUACAGGCGUGAGCCACCGCACCAGGCCCAUGUCAUAUGUUUUUAUGAGUUUGGACAUUGGCAUCUGGGACCAGGUACUUCAUCUGGAUUUGAACCACAAUGUGGGUGUUUGUUUUUAAUACCUUUGUGAAAUAAUUUUAAAUUGCCUUAUAUAUUUGGCAUUGUCACUUUGCUGCCCCUACACACUGAUGGAAAAAUUGUGUUCUGCAGAAAACUAGAGUUCCUCACAGGGUGAGGAAGAGUUAUGGUCAUCUGCACAGUUGUAGCCCGUUGCGAGUGUUUUCCCAUGUGCACAGUGAUAUCUAGGCAAGUGUGCCAUGAUUUCCUGGUGAGGAUAAAAUCUAUGGACGGUGAGAGAACUAGUCAAGGAAUAACUGAAGUGAGCUGCAGACAGGAUUAUCAUUUUGAGUAACAUCCCAAUGUAUUUGUCAUCCUUUAAUUAAUUUUUAUUUUUUUAAUUAAAAAAUAAUUUUUAAGUGUAAACCUUUAAUGAUCCACAAAGCCCAAAAUGUCCAUUUGAUUUUCAUAGGUAUCGUUUCCAUAUGCUUAGACUUCCAGCAGCUAUUAGAAGAGA